Molecule: ribosomal RNA, 1414 nt
Filed under: uncultured bacterium
Lineage: Bacteria
Description: bacterial SSU rRNA
Rfam family: Bacterial small subunit ribosomal RNA
Source: RNAcentral
AGAGUUUGAUCCUGGCUCAGGACGAACGCUGGCGGCGUGCCUAACACAUGCAAGUCGAACGGAGAAAUUAUUUCGGUAAUUUCUUAGUGGCGAACGGGUGAGUAACACGUAAACAACCUGCCUUUUAGAUGGGGACAACAUCUCGAAAGGGAUGCUAAUACCGAAUGUUUUGGUUUUAUCGCAUGAUGAAACCAAUAAAGGUGGCCUCUAUUUAUAAGCUACCGCUAAAAGAGGGGUUUGCGUCUGAUUAGCUAGUUGGUAGUGUAACGGCCUACCAAGGCAAUGAUCAGUAGCCGGUCUGAGAGGAUGAACGGCCACACUGGGACUGAGACACGGCCCAGACUCCUACGGGAGGCAGCAGUGGGGAAUCUUCCGCAAUGGGCGAAAGCCUGACGGAGCAACGCCGCGUGAACGAAGAAGGUUUUCGGAUCGUAAAGUUCUGUUCUUAGAGACGAAAGAUACGAUUGUGAAUAAUGAUCGUAAGUGACGGUAACUAAGGAGCAAGCCACGGCUAACUACGUGCCAGCAGCCGCGGUAAUACGUAGGUGGCAAGCGUUGUCCGGAAUCAUUGGGCGUAAAGGGAGCGUAGGUGGAACUUUAAGUCGGACUUAAAAGUGCGGGGCUCAACCCCGUGAUGGGUCCGAAACUGGAGUUCUUGAGUGUAGGAGAGGAAAGCGGAAUUCCCAGUGUAGCGGUGAAAUGCGUAGAUAUUGGGAGGAACACCAGUGGCGAAGGCGGCUUUCUGGACUAUAACUGACACUGAGGCUCGAAAGCCAGGGGAGUGAACGGGAUUAGAUACCCCGGUAAUCCUGGCCGUAAACGAUGGGUACUAGGUGUAGGAGGUAUCGACCCCUUCUGUGCCGGAGUUAACGCAAUAAGUACCCCGCCUGGGGAGUACGGUCGCAAGACUGAAACUCAAAGGAAUUGACGGGGGCCCGCACAAGCGGUGGAGUAUGUGGUUUAAUUCGACGCAACGCGAAGAACCUUACCAAGGCUUGACAUCGAUUGACAGACUAAGAAAUUAGUCCUUCUCUUCGGAGACAAGAAGACAGGUGGUGCAUGGUUGUCGUCAGCUCGUGUCGUGAGAUGUUGGGUUAAGUCCCGCAACGAGCGCAACCCCUGUGCUAUGUUGCCAGCAAGUAAAGUUGGGAACUCAUAGCAGACAGCCGUAGAAAUACGGAGGAAGGCGGGGAUGACGUCAAAUCAUCAUGCCCCUUAUGCCUUGGGCUACACACGUACUACAAUGGGCUUUAAUAGAAGGAAGCAAAACUGCGAAGUCGAGCAAAUCCCAAAAACAAGCUCUCAGUUCGGAUUGCAGGCUGAAACCCGCCUGCAUGAAGUCGGAAUCGCUAGUAAUCGCAGGUCAGCAUACUGCGGUGAAUACGUUCCCGGGCCUUGCACACACCGCCCGUCA